UACGUAGGGGGCAAGCGUUGUCCGGAAUCAUUGGGCGUAAAGAGCGCGUAGGCGGCCCUGUAAGUCCGCUGUGAAAGUCAAGGGCUCAACCCUUGAAUGCCGGUGGAUACUGCAGGGCUAGAGUCCGGAAGAGGCGAGUGGAAUUCCUGGUGUAGCGGCGAAAUGCGCAGAUAUCAGGAGGAACACCGAUGGCGAAGGCAGCUCGCUGGGACGGUACUGACGCUGAGGCGCGAAAGCGUGGGGAGCAAACAGG
Molecule: ribosomal RNA, 253 nt
Filed under: uncultured bacterium
Lineage: Bacteria
Description: partial 16S ribosomal RNA
Rfam family: Bacterial small subunit ribosomal RNA
Source: RNAcentral